CUGUAUUUUUUUUGUUCCCAGGUACCUGGUAAACUGAGGACUAGAAGUCACUCAAACAAAGGCCUGUUUCCUGUGAUGCUUUUUCCUCCAUGAGUGCAGGGUGAGCACUGGCCACCAGAGAGAGACUGAGCCCACUGUGCUCUGCUGGAGCAUCUGCAGCCAGGAAGAGCCUUCAGAGGGCCUUUGGCCAUUUUCCUGCCACCACACAGUACUGCACCUCCUAUUAGGAGCAUCAUCUCUACUGUCUGAGCUGCUCAUUGACUGGAACCUGCUUCAAGAGCUUCCCAGAUCCUCUCAUUUAUUCUACCACUAUGUCCCAAAUGCUUACCUUGUUCCAUGAGCUGAGUUAGGCCUGGGAACUGCAAAGCAAGAGACCAAUAUGGUCCCUGCCAUCUGAGAGCUCAAAUCUGGAGAAAUAGAAGGACAAGCACUAGAGUAAUAUAACUGGAAGAAAAGACCAAGUGUUAUAACAAAAUAAACACUGGAGCUCUGAGGGAACACUGCAAUCACUACACAAGGCCAUCAGAGAGGUCUCACUGAGGUGACUCAAUGCUUAGAGCUGGUGCCAAGUGGAACCCAGCCUUGCAUAAGGAGGGAAAAUCAACUAUUAAUAGAUUCAAAGGCAGAAGUGAGUUGUCCAGAGAGGAGGUAGGAGGGCAGCCACUGUGGCUGAAGGGCUCCCAGGAGGAGAGAAGGGGAGGGAUGAACCCUGCUGGUGAUUAAGACUGUACAGUGACCCAACACUAUUUGAAGAGUUACCACAAAUGGAACAGAUGUUACAACAAACAUUUGUGGUUUCAUGGUUUUUUUGAAUCAGAAAUGCAGGUGGUCACAGCCAGGGUUUCUGCCAUAUCUGUCAUGAGACUGGGGCCACAUUCUUAGCUGAGGCUAUUAUGGCAAGGUCUGCUUUGAAGCUGAGUCAGAGUUACUGGCAGGACUCACCUAGGACAAGGAAGGCCUCAUUUUUCCUCAUCUGUUGCCCUCUCUGUCCCAAGACUCAUGAGCCUCUCCUUAGGGAGCCAGAGAAGACAGCAGCCGCAUCCCCAGAGCCUGAGAUCCCAGGGAGAGAGGAGAAAGGAAACAACACAUAAAGAAGAGAGAAACAAGAAAGGAGAGAGCAAGAUGUUAGCCGCAGUAAUUUCAUAAGUCAGUCAUGGAGUUGACGCCACAUGAACAUCUGUCAUUGUUUGACAUCACAAGGGAGACAUUAAAUCCAGGUGACACUGAAGAGGAGGUGACUGCUCAGAUGUGCACCCCAGGGUAAGGAAAGCUGGGAGCUGCUAAGCAGGAGGCCCAGCACAUAGGCCUGGCUGGGGCACAUAGGUCUGAAUCUGAAGACCAUGGGAAGCAACUGAAGGCCUAGGGAGAUGAGGAUACCUGCAUUAAUUGCAUUUCAACCCUCUCACCAUGCAGGUGGGGAAAGAAGGCCAAGAAGGAAAACGGCAUUUCCAAAGUCACAAGACAGGAGGCUAGGCCUAUUUUUAGGUCUAUUAUAUAUGAUAUUGCAUCUGUUUCUAUAUUUUAUCUCACUUCUGUGCAUUAUACACAUGUGGCAGCCAGUUUUCUAAGUGCUAUCACACAUGUGACUGUGACAUCACUAGGAAGCAGAUGCUAGGAUGACCCCAUCAUGAAGAGGGAGACUGGGGAAGCCUUGAGAGACCUGAUGAUUUGUCCAGGGUCACAUGAGAGGACAGAAGGAGGAACUGGGUCUAGUCCCAGGUCUGUCUCCUCAGAGCAGGAACCCUGCUGCACCCGAGCCUGUCAAGAGAUGUGGGGGACAGUGUUGGGGUUCCUGUGGACACAUAUGGAAAUGGCAUGGGGCUGGAGGAGAGCCAACAGUAGCCCAGAGGCAGAUAUUAUUUUAUCUGGAGGAGGGGUCAGGUGAGGGACCGCCCCCUGACUUCCUGUCCUUCCUUCCAAACAGAACUUGGAACCCUGUAACCAGGCACCCACAUUCUAGCAACAGCCUCCUCCUUUGACCAAGAAUUAUGUUCUGCUUCUUACCUAGAGGCCAAGGCUCUAGGAGGUCCCACAGCCAGAGCUCCCUCUCUGGCUGAAUGGCCCCUUCUUCAGGCCCCAGCCCCAGGAUUCCCCACAGGCAGAACCUGUUACAAAGAAUGGAAUACUGGUUGAACUCCCACUCCUAUCACUGUUGCCCACGUGCCAAGAGACAAUCAAGGCCUAAACCUCACAGCCCAGGCCAACUGAACACAAGAGAAUCCGCCACUGUGAGUAACCUUGCAAUGCCUUUAUACUGAGUUUGGGGGAACAGGGAGCUGAGGCAGGAUCAGGUGAUGGAAUAUUGUCAUGGUCCUCCCCAGGACAGGGCUGGAAGUGGGGUUUGGGAGUGUUCAGGGUUCAUUCUGAGCCCUCAGUGUCAUCUCCUGUCCUCAUAGGAUAGAACUCUGGGACAUAGGGUCUGUAUGAGGUUUGGUAGAAGAAGGACACAAGGGGCAGAAACAGCCUGAACAGAGG
This 2475-nucleotide long non-coding RNA is filed under the name Marmota monax (woodchuck). The record is from RNAcentral. Lineage: Eukaryota; Metazoa; Chordata; Mammalia; Rodentia; Sciuridae.